Non-coding RNA from Potamilus streckersoni, 73 nucleotides. Lineage: Eukaryota; Metazoa; Mollusca; Bivalvia; Unionida; Unionidae. The record is from the annotation of a GenBank genome assembly.
GCUCCAGUGGCCUAGUGGUUAGAGCGUCCGUCUCAAAUACGGGAAGUCGUGGGUUCGAUCCCCGGUCGAGUCA